This 539-nucleotide ribosomal RNA is filed under the name uncultured bacterium. RNAcentral's name for it is "bacterial SSU rRNA". It matches the Rfam family "Bacterial small subunit ribosomal RNA", at positions 775 to 1316 of the family's 1533-position model. The record is from RNAcentral.
AGUCAAUAGAUACCCAGGUAGUCCACGCCGUAAACGAUGAAUACUAGGUGUAGGGGUUGUCAUGACCUCUGUGCCGCCGCAAACGCAUUAAGUAUUCCGCCUGGGGAGUACGGUCGCAAGAUUAAAACUCAAAGGAAUUGACGGGGGCCCGCACAAGCAGCGGAGCAUGUGGUUUAAUUCGAAGCAACGCGAAGAACCUUACCUAGACUUGACAUCUCCUGAAUUACUCUGUAAUGGAGGAAGCCCUUCGGGGCAGGAAGACAGGUGGUGCAUGGUUGUCGUCAGCUCGUGUCGUGAGAUGUUGGGUUAAGUCCCGCAACGAGCGCAACCCUUAUUGUUAGUUGCUACCAUUAAGUUGAGCACUCUAGCGAGACUGCCCGGGUUAACCGGGAGGAAGGUGGGGAUGACGUCAAAUCAUCAUGCCCCUUAUGUCUAGGGCUACACACGUGCUACAAUGGCUGGUACAGAGAGAUGCUAAACCGUGAGGUGGAGCCAAACUUUAAACCAGUCUCAGUUCGGAUUGUAGGCUGAAACUCGCC